This 240-nucleotide unclassified non-coding RNA is filed under the name soil metagenome. RNAcentral's name for it is "partial contains 5.8S ribosomal RNA, internal transcribed spacer 2, and large subunit ribosomal RNA". The record is from RNAcentral.
AAGACUAUAGACCUGCGGAGUACCUGCGGAAGGAUCAUCAUAGAAAACACAUAUAUACCAGAGAGGAUUGGGGGGGAAUGGGAAUAUGUCGCCUCUCUUUUCUCUCUGGGCAAACAAACAUACAUGACUAAGGAAAGAAAGAAGCAGCAGAGAGAUGGCUUGGCUUGGUUGGAUCUGGGGGGCUUCUCUCGCAAAAGUUCCUGUCUGAUAAGUAGCUUACUGUGACUUGGAGUAGUUACU